RNAcentral lists this ribosomal RNA (1102 nucleotides) under Arthrobacter sp. RNAcentral's name for it is "bacterial SSU rRNA". It matches the Rfam family "Bacterial small subunit ribosomal RNA", at positions 56 to 1166 of the family's 1533-position model. Lineage: Bacteria; Bacillati; Actinomycetota; Actinomycetes; Micrococcales; Micrococcaceae. The record is from RNAcentral.
UGCAGUCGAACGAUGACUUCUGUGCUUGCACAGAAUGAUUAGUGGCGAACGGGUGAGUAACACGUGAGUAACCUGCCCUUGACUUCGGGAUAAGCCUGGGAAACCGGGUCUAAUACCGGAUACGACCUCCUGGCGCAUGCCAUGGGGGUGGAAAGCUUUAUGCGGUUUUGGAUGGACUCGCGGCCUAUCAGCUUGUUGGUUGGGGUAAUGGCCCACCAAGGCGACGACGGGUAGCCGGCCUGAGAGGGUGACCGGCCACACUGGGACUGAGACACGGCCCAGACUCCUACGGGAGGCAGCAGUGGGGAAUAUUGCACAAUGGGCGGAAGCCUGAUGCAGCGACGCCGCGUGAGGGAUGACGGCCUUCGGGUUGUAAACCUCUUUCAGCAGGGAAGAAGCGAAAGUGACGGUACCUGCAGAAGAAGCGCCGGCUAACUACGUGCCAGCAGCCGCGGUAAUACGUAGGGCGCAAGCGUUAUCCGGAAUUAUUGGGCGUAAAGAGCUCGUAGGCGGUUUGUCGCGUCUGCUGUGAAAGCCCGGGGCUCAACCCCGGGUCUGCAGUGGGUACGGGCAGACUAGAGUGCAGUAGGGGAGACUGGAAUUCCUGGUGUAGCGGUGAAAUGCGCAGAUAUCAGGAGGAACACCGAUGGCGAAGGCAGGUCUCUGGGCUGUAACUGACGCUGAGGAGCGAAAGCAUGGGGAGCGAACAGGAUUAGAUACCCUGGUAGUCCAUGCCGUAAACGUUGGGCACUAGGUGUGGGGGACAUUCCACGUUUUCCGCGCCGUAGCUAACGCAUUAAGUGCCCCGCCUGGGGAGUACGGCCGCAAGGCUAAAACUCAAAGGAAUUGACGGGGGCCCGCACAAGCGGCGGAGCAUGCGGAUUAAUUCGAUGCAACGCGAAGAACCUUACCAAGGCUUGACAUGAACCGGUAAAGCGUAGAAAUACGCUCCCCACUUGUGGCCGGUUUACAGGUGGUGCAUGGUUGUCGUCAGCUCGUGUCGUGAGAUGUUGGGUUAAGUCCCGCAACGAGCGCAACCCUCGUUCUAUGUUGCCAGCGGGUUAUGCCGGGGACUCAUAGGAGACUGCCGGGGUCAACUCGG